CAUGACCUUCUUCUUUUUAACUGCAGUUAAUAACAGGCAGCGCAAAACACUGUUCAAAGGGCAGUUCUGUUUCCCGUUGUGUGAAAGUAUUAAAUCAGUGUUAGAAAGCUUUAGAUCAGACUGAAUCCUCCGUCUGACUCGUCUCUGACUCUGUUUCCAGAGGAGCAGCGUUUCCCAGAGUGCACUGCGGCCGAGUCGGUGAUGGAGGUCAGACUCAGAGAUCUGCUGCUGGACAUCGAGGACCGGGUUUACCAGGGCACGCUCGGGUAUCUGAAGGACGUGGAGCGGCAGGAGUGGAGGGCGGCGCUGGAGUCAGGUGACUACCAGGCUUUGAUUGGCAGCUGUGAGGACCAAUCGGAGACGCUGUGGGACGGCCUCGGGGCCUCCUCCCUGGGCAGCAGCGUCAGGGCCCUGGCCUCCGCUCUGGCUCAGAUCGAGCGCGGAUCGAGAGACGUUUCCUCAAACCUCCUCUGGGUAAGACACGGGGACACAGCAGAGGGACACUGGGGUUUGUCUCAGAGCA
RNAcentral lists this long non-coding RNA (523 nucleotides) under Neogobius melanostomus (round goby). RNAcentral describes it as "lncRNA (ENSNMLG00000007858.1)". The record is from RNAcentral. Lineage: Eukaryota; Metazoa; Chordata; Actinopteri; Gobiiformes; Gobiidae.